Molecule: ribosomal RNA, 380 nt
Filed under: uncultured eukaryote
Lineage: Eukaryota
Description: partial 18S ribosomal RNA
Rfam family: Eukaryotic small subunit ribosomal RNA
Source: RNAcentral
CAAUAGCGUAUAUUAAAGUUGUUGCAGUUAAAAAGCUCGUAGUCGGAUUUUGGCAUCACGCCGAACUGUCUGCCGAUUGGUAAGUACGGUUUGGCGGGUGCUUCUUUCUUGAAGCUCGUUCCCUUCCUAACUGAAGGGUUCGUUGGUUCAGGUUCUUUUACUUUGAGAAAAUUAGAGUGUUCAAAGCAGGCCUAUGCUCUGAAUAGGUUAGCAUGGAAUAAUAGAAUAGGACUUUGGUUCUAUUUUGUUGGUUUCUAGAGCUGAGGUAAUGAUUAAUAGGGAUAGUUGGGGGCAUUCGUAUUUAACUGUCAGAGGUGAAAUUCUUGGAUUUCUGGAAGACGAACUACUGCGAAAGCAUUUACCAAGGAUGUUUUCAUUAA